AAGAGUUUGAUCAUGGCUCAGGACGAACGCUGGCGGCGUGCUUAACACAUGCAAGUCGAACGGAAAGGCCCUUCGGGGUACUCGAGUGGCGAACGGGUGAGUAACACGUGGGUGAUCUGCCCUGCACUCUGGGAUAAGCCUGGGAAACUGGGUCUAAUACCGGAUAGGACCACACACUUCAUGGUGAGUGGUGCAAAGCUUUUGCGGUGUGGGAUGAGCCCGCGGCCUAUCAGCUUGUUGGUGGGGUAAUGGCCCACCAAGGCGACGACGGGUAGCCGGCCUGAGAGGGUGACCGGCCACACUGGGACUGAGAUACGGCCCAGACUCCUACGGGAGGCAGCAGUGGGGAAUAUUGCACAAUGGGCGCAAGCCUGAUGCAGCGACGCCGCGUGAGGGAUGACGGCCUUCGGGUUGUAAACCUCUUUCAGUAGGGACGAAGCGAAAGUGACGGUACCUACAGAAGAAGGACCGGC
RNAcentral lists this ribosomal RNA (473 nucleotides) under Mycobacteroides abscessus subsp. bolletii. RNAcentral describes it as "bacterial SSU rRNA". It matches the Rfam family "Bacterial small subunit ribosomal RNA", at positions 1 to 497 of the family's 1533-position model. The record is from RNAcentral. Lineage: Bacteria; Bacillati; Actinomycetota; Actinomycetes; Mycobacteriales; Mycobacteriaceae.